This 1019-nucleotide ribosomal RNA is filed under the name uncultured bacterium. RNAcentral describes it as "bacterial SSU rRNA". It matches the Rfam family "Bacterial small subunit ribosomal RNA", at positions 1 to 995 of the family's 1533-position model. The record is from RNAcentral.
GGGGAUGGUCGCGCGGAUCUUCAGAGAUUAGAGUUUGAUCAUGGCUCAGGAUGAACGCUAGCGGCAGGCUUAACACAUGCAAGUCGAGGGGCAGCGGGGUGUAGCAAUACAUCGCCGGCGACCGGCGCACGGGUGCGUAACACGUAUGGAAUCUGCCCUGUACUGGGGAAUAGCCCUCCGAAAGGAGGAUUAAUACCCCGUAAUAGCUUGAGUGGCAUCACUCGGGUUUGAAAGCUCCGGCGGUACAGGAUGACCAUGCGCACGAUUAGCUAGUAGGUGAGGUAACGGCUCACCUAGGCUACGAUCGUUAGGGGGCCUGAGAGGGUUAUCCCCCACACUGGUACUGAGACACGGACCAGACUCCUACGGGAGGCAGCAGUGAGGAAUAUUGCGCAAUGGAGGAAACUCUGACGCAGCCAUGCCGCGUGCAGGAAGACGGCCCUACGGGUUGUAAACUGCUUUUAUCAGGGAAGAAACCCCGGGACGUGUCCCGGGUUGACGGUACCUGAGGAAUAAGCACCGGCUAACUCCGUGCCAGCAGCCGCGGUAAUACGGAGGGUGCAAGCGUUAUCCGGAUUCAUUGGGUUUAAAGGGUGCGUAGGCGAGGUGGUAAGUCAGUGGUGAAAUCCUGCAGCUUAACUGUAGAAUUGCCAUUGAUACUGCCAUUCUUGAGUGCGCUUGAAGUGGGCGGAAUGUGCCGUGUAGCGGUGAAAUGCUUAGAUAUGGCACAGAACACCAAUUGCGAAGGCAGCUCACUAAGGCGAUACUGACGCUGAGGCACGAAAGCGUGGGGAUCGAACAGGAUUAGAUACCCUGGUAGUCCACGCCGUAAACGAUGAUCACUCGUGAUUGGCGAUAUACGGUCAGUCACCUAGCGAAAGCGUUAAGUGAUCCACCUGGGGAGUACGGCCGCAAGGCUGAACUCAAAGGAAUUGACGGGGGCCCGCACAAGCGGUGGAGCAUGUGGUUUAAUUCGAUGAUACGCGAGGAACCUUACCAGGGCUCGAACGCACGACGAA